This 464-nucleotide ribosomal RNA is filed under the name uncultured bacterium. RNAcentral describes it as "partial 16S ribosomal RNA". It matches the Rfam family "Bacterial small subunit ribosomal RNA", at positions 339 to 795 of the family's 1533-position model. The record is from RNAcentral.
CUACGGGAUGCAGCAGUGGGGAAUAUUGCACAAUGGGGGAAACCCUGAUGCAGCCAUACCGCGUGUGUGAAGAAGGCCCGAGGGUUGUAAAGCACUUUCAAUUGUGAGGAAGGGUAAGUAGUUAAUACCUGCUUAUCUUGACGUUAACUUUAGAAGAAGCACCGGCUAACUCUGUGCCAGCAGCCGCGGUAAUACAGAGGGUGCAAGCGUUAUUCGGAAUUACUGGGCGUAAAGCGCGCGUAGGCGGAAUAUUAAGUCAGUUGUGAAAGCCCCGGGCUCAACCUGGGAACGGCUUCUGAUACUGGUAUUCUAGAGUUUAGUAGAGGGGAGGGGAAUUCCUAGUGUAGCAGUGAAAUGCGUAGAUAUUAGGAGGAACAUCAGUGGCGAAGGCGCCUUCCUGGACUAAAACUGACGCUGAGGUGCGAAAGCGUGGGUAGCGAACAGGAUUAGAUACCCGAGUAGUC